UACGUAGGUGGCAAGCGUUGUCCGGAAUUAUUGGGCGUAAAGCGCGCGCAGGUGGUUUCUAAAGUCUGAUGUGAAAGCCCACGGCUCAACCGUGGAGGGUCAUUGGAAACUGGGGAACUUGAGUGCAGAAGAGGAAAGUGGAAUUCCAAGUGUAGCGGUGAAAUGCGUAGAGAUUUGGAGGAACACCAGUGGCGAAGGCGACUUUCUGGUCUGUAACUGACACUGAGGCGCGAAAGCGUGGGGAGCGAACAGG
This 253-nucleotide ribosomal RNA is filed under the name uncultured bacterium. RNAcentral's name for it is "partial 16S ribosomal RNA". It matches the Rfam family "Bacterial small subunit ribosomal RNA", at positions 524 to 776 of the family's 1533-position model. The record is from RNAcentral.